UGAUUUUGAACUUAUACUGAUUAAUUAAUUAAUUACCAGGAACCCUCUCCUCCGGGCAGGUGGAAGCCUGGAAUUCCGGGGAGAUGGGAUGUCAGAGAAGACAGGAGAUCUCCAGCGAUUUCAGGCGUCGGAUUCCUGCGGGGGCCGGGCAUACUGAUUGACUAAUUCGCCGGAACUGUCUGCUCCGGGCAGGUGGAAGCCUGGAAUGCCGGGGAGAAGGGAUGUCACAGAAGAGACGAGAUCUUCAGCGACUUCAGGCGUCGAAUUCCUGCGCGGGCCGGGCAUACUGAUUGACUAAUUCGCCUGAACUGUCUGCUCCGGGCAGGUGGAAGCCUGGAAUUCCGGGGAGAAGGGAUGUCACA
Andrographis paniculata is the source of this 362-nucleotide long non-coding RNA. RefSeq lists it as uncharacterized. The record is from RefSeq and is a predicted model, not a curated record. Lineage: Eukaryota; Viridiplantae; Streptophyta; Magnoliopsida; Lamiales; Acanthaceae. The transcript has 3 exons.